CAGAGAAUAACUUUUUUUUUAUUAAAAAUUAAACUUUUUUUAAUUUGUGCAGAAACAAUUAUAAAAAUUAAAGACAAGAAGACCCUAAGAAUUUAUAAAUUUGAUUAAUAUUUUUUUGUAUUAAUUAAAUUUUAACUGGGGCGGUUAAAAAACAUUAAAAACUUUUUUAAUUUAAUAUGACCCAUUAUUAAUGAUAAUAUGAAAAAUACUCUAGGGAUAACAGCGUUAUAUUUUUUGAUAGAUCAUAUUGACAAAA
RNAcentral lists this ribosomal RNA (256 nucleotides) under Rhipicephalus pulchellus. RNAcentral's name for it is "partial large subunit ribosomal RNA". The record is from RNAcentral. Lineage: Eukaryota; Metazoa; Arthropoda; Arachnida; Ixodida; Ixodidae. RNAcentral also lists the same sequence under 1 other name.